RNAcentral lists this ribosomal RNA (484 nucleotides) under uncultured Bacteroidota bacterium. RNAcentral describes it as "bacterial SSU rRNA". It matches the Rfam family "Bacterial small subunit ribosomal RNA", at positions 355 to 835 of the family's 1533-position model. The record is from RNAcentral. Lineage: Bacteria; Pseudomonadati; Bacteroidota.
UAAGGAAUAUUGGACAAUGGAGGCAACUCUGAUCCAGCCAUCCCGCGUGCAGGAUGAAUGCCCUAUGGGUUGUAAACUGCUUUUGUGAGGGAAGAACCGCCUUAAUUAUUUAGGGUUUGACGGUACCUUACGAAUAAGCACCGGCUAACUCCGUGCCAGCAGCCGCGGUAAUACGGAGGGUGCAAGCGUUAUCCGGAAUCACUGGGUUUAAAGGGUGCGUAGGCGGCCUGUUAAGUCAGGGGUGAAAGGUCACGGCUCAACCGUGGAAUUGCCUUUGAUACUGACGGGCUUGAAUCAGGAUGAGGUCGGCGGAAUGUGGCAUGUAGCGGUGAAAUGCAUAGAUAUGCCAUAGAACACCAAUUGCGAAGGCAGCUGGCUAGACCUUGAUUGACGCUGAGGCACGAAAGCGUGGGGAGCGGAACAGGAUUAGAUACCCUGGUAGUCCACGCCCUAAACGAUGUUUACUCGACGUACGGUCGAAUGA